GUUGAUACAAAUUUCUCUUGAUCGUAAUGCAUUUGGAACUUUUGGAAAACCUGCGGCUGGGAGCUGAUUGUUCUCGAUCAAGUCCAGUGCUGAACCCCCAAAUGGAUUGCAAGGAUCAAAGGAACGUUUUGGAAAACCUGGAGACUGCAAAUCUGAGACGAAAUUCUACUCAAAAUCCGUUUUGGAGCUUGUUCUAUCUGUUCAUGGUGAAUCAAGUCCGUUUUGUUCUGCUUGCACUUUCAUUUUGAAUUUUUGCAUAUUUUUUAUUCUUUUCGAUGUAUAUUGUUUUCUAAUGGGCAUUUAGUGUGCAAUGUCUUUCUUUUAAGUCAUUGGUUACUUUGUAAAGAGAAAAAAAAGUGAAUUAUGUCCUUGUUCUACUCUUUCUACAACAUUUACAUAAAAAAGCAAAAAAACUGCUAAAACAGGCAAAUCAAACUUCCUUAAGCAUUCAAUUGGCCAUUUAGUCUUUUGGGAUUUAA
Molecule: long non-coding RNA, 479 nt
Organism: Cucumis sativus (cucumber)
Lineage: Eukaryota; Viridiplantae; Streptophyta; Magnoliopsida; Cucurbitales; Cucurbitaceae
Exons: 3
Source: RefSeq, a predicted model, not a curated record